This 267-nucleotide unclassified non-coding RNA is filed under the name Hypocenomyce sp. RNAcentral describes it as "partial contains 5.8S ribosomal RNA, internal transcribed spacer 2, and large subunit ribosomal RNA". Lineage: Eukaryota; Fungi; Ascomycota; Lecanoromycetes; Umbilicariales; Ophioparmaceae. The record is from RNAcentral.
AACGCACAUUGCGCCCUUUGGCAUUCCGAAGGGCAUGCCUGUUCGAGCGUCAUUAUCCUCUCUCAAACCUCGUGUUUGGUGUUGGACCGCGUGGGAACCGUUCGCGGCCCCCACUGGUCUCAAAGACAAUGACGGUGUCCGUGGGACCCUCUUCGCACUGAGCUUUCCGGAGCACGCGUCGAGUUUCAAGGCCCCAGGGACCCGGUCACCUUAUCAUUAUUUUAUCAGGUUGACCUCGGAUCAGGUAGGAAUACCCGCUGAACUUAA